This 76-nucleotide transfer RNA is filed under the name Alphaproteobacteria bacterium MarineAlpha5_Bin12. RNAcentral describes it as "tRNA-Val". It matches the Rfam family "tRNA". Rfam says of the family: Transfer RNA (tRNA) molecules are approximately 80 nucleotides in length. Lineage: Bacteria; Pseudomonadati; Pseudomonadota; Alphaproteobacteria. RNAcentral also lists the same sequence under 1 other name. The record is from RNAcentral.
GGGCGUUUAGCUCAGUUGGUAGAGCAUCUGGUUUACAUCCAGAGGGUCGGGAGUUCAAGUCUCUCAACGCCCACCA